RNAcentral lists this non-coding RNA (26 nucleotides) under Homo sapiens (human). The record is from RNAcentral. Lineage: Eukaryota; Metazoa; Chordata; Mammalia; Primates; Hominidae.
UCUUCUUCCUGCCUGUGCCUAACCAC